UUCCUACGGGGGGCAGCAGUGGGGAAUCUUCCGCAAUGGGCGAAAGCCUGACGGAGCAACGCCGCGUGAGUGAAGAAGUAUUUCGGUAUGUAAAGCUCUAUCAGCAGGGAAGAAAAUGACGGUACCUGACUAAGAAGCCCCGGCUAACUACGUGCCAGCAGCCGCGGUAAUACGUAGGGGGCAAGCGUUAUCCGGAUUUACUGGGUGUAAAGGGAGCGUAGACGGAUAAGCAAGUCUGAUGUGAAAAUCCGGGGCCCAACCCCGGAAUUGCAUUGGAAACUGCAUAUCUAGAGUGUCGGAGAGGC
This 305-nucleotide ribosomal RNA is filed under the name uncultured bacterium. RNAcentral's name for it is "bacterial SSU rRNA". It matches the Rfam family "Bacterial small subunit ribosomal RNA", at positions 336 to 658 of the family's 1533-position model. The record is from RNAcentral.